GAUACACCUUGGUGUUGCCUGACUCUGGCUCUAGGCCGUGAAUUUUAGUUGUCAUUUUAGUUCAGUUCAGUUGAGUCAGAGUCGAGCGUUGCGUCGUUUUCUUUGCUUUUGUCGUUUCGUCCACGCUUUUGCCUCAUUUUCGCCAACUGCAAAAUUUAAUUUAACAAAAAGUGGAAAAAUCGAAAGAAGCAGCGGAAGCACGAGCCGAUUUAAGUAGACCAAUAAUAUUCCAGAAGCGAAAAGAUAAUCAGAAUCAUUCUACGACGUCUGCAAGUAGCAACUCAACAUCUGAAAUCAGCAGCUCCAAAAGCUCUAAAUCAAGCAACAAUCCGGAAGGAUCCAAGAAAAUAAACAAGCAG
This 359-nucleotide unclassified non-coding RNA is filed under the name Rhagoletis pomonella (apple maggot). RNAcentral describes it as "uncharacterized protein KIAA1143 homolog, transcript variant X1". Lineage: Eukaryota; Metazoa; Arthropoda; Insecta; Diptera; Tephritidae. The record is from RNAcentral.